RNAcentral lists this unclassified non-coding RNA (327 nucleotides) under soil metagenome. Its description in RNAcentral is "partial contains 5.8S ribosomal RNA, internal transcribed spacer 2, and large subunit ribosomal RNA". The stretch from base 1 to 120 matches the Rfam family "5.8S ribosomal RNA", at positions 35 to 154 of the family's 154-position model. The record is from RNAcentral.
GAUGAAGAACGUAGCGAAAUGCGAUAAGUAAUGUGAAUUGCAGAAUUCAGUGAAUCAUCGAAUCUUUGAACGCACAUUGCGCCCCUUGGUAUUCCGAGGGGCAUGCCUGUUCGAGCGUCAUUAACCCCUCAAGCUCAGCUUGGUGUUGGGGCCUGCUGCACUGGCAGCCCUUAAAAUCAGUGGCGGCGCCAUCUGGCUCUAAGCGUAGUAAUUCUUCUCGCUAUGGAGUCCUGGUGGAUGCUUGCCAUCAACCCCCAAUUUUUCUAUGGUUGACCUCGGAUCAGGUAGGGAUACCCGCUGAACUUAAGCAUAUCAAUAAGCGGAGGA